Molecule: ribosomal RNA, 468 nt
Filed under: uncultured bacterium
Lineage: Bacteria
Description: partial 16S ribosomal RNA
Rfam family: Bacterial small subunit ribosomal RNA
Source: RNAcentral
GACGAACGCUGGCGGCGUGCUUAACACAUGCAAGUCGAACGGAAAGGCCCUGCUUUUGUUGGGUUCUCGAUUGGCGAACGGGUGAGUAACACGUGAGUAACCUGCCCUUGACUUUGUGAUAACUUCAGGAAACUCGGGCUAAUACCGGAUAGGAUCUCCUGCUGCAUGGUGGGCGUUGGAAAGUUUCGGCGGUUGGGGAUGGACUCGCGGCUUAUCAGCUUGUUGGUGGGGUAGUGGCUUACCAAGGCUUUGACGGGUAGCCGGCCUGAGAGGGUGACCGGCGACAUUGGGACUGAGAGACGGCGCAGACUCCUACGGGAGGCAGCAGUGGGGAAUAUUGCACAAUGGGCGGAAGCCUGAUGCAGCAACGCCGCGUGCGGGAUGACGGCCUUCGGGGUGUAAACCGCUUUGGCCUGUGACGAAGCGUGAGUGACGGUAAUGGGUAAAGAAGCACCGGCUAACUACGUG